GGGCCUGUAGCUCAGUAGGUUAGAGCGCACGCCUGAUAAGCGUGAGGUCGGCGGUUCGAAUCUGCCCAGGCCCACGA
RNAcentral lists this transfer RNA (77 nucleotides) under Deltaproteobacteria bacterium. RNAcentral describes it as "tRNA-Ile". It matches the Rfam family "tRNA". Rfam says of the family: Transfer RNA (tRNA) molecules are approximately 80 nucleotides in length. The record is from RNAcentral. Lineage: Bacteria; Pseudomonadati; Myxococcota; Myxococcia.